This 881-nucleotide ribosomal RNA is filed under the name Escherichia coli. RNAcentral's name for it is "partial 23S ribosomal RNA". It matches the Rfam family "Bacterial large subunit ribosomal RNA", at positions 165 to 1083 of the family's 2925-position model. The record is from RNAcentral. Lineage: Bacteria; Pseudomonadati; Pseudomonadota; Gammaproteobacteria; Enterobacterales; Enterobacteriaceae.
CAUAGGUUAAUGAGGCGAACCGGGGGAACUGAAACAUCUAAGUACCCCGAGGAAAAGAAAUCAACCGAGAUUCCCCCAGUAGCGGCGAGCGAACGGGGAGCAGCCCAGAGCCUGAAUCAGUGUGUGUGUUAGUGGAAGCGUCUGGAAAGGCGCGCGAUACAGGGUGACAGCCCCGUACACAAAAAUGCACAUGCUGUGAGCUCGAUGAGUAGGGCGGGACACGUGGUAUCCUGUCUGAAUAUGGGGGGACCAUCCUCCAAGGCUAAAUACUCCUGACUGACCGAUAGUGAACCAGUACCGUGAGGGAAAGGCGAAAAGAACCCCGGCGAGGGGAGUGAAAAAGAACCUGAAACCGUGUACGUACAAGCAGUGGGAGCACAGAGCAAUCUGUGUGACUGCGUACCUUUUGUAUAAUGGGUCAGCGACUUAUAUUCUGUAGCAAGGUUAACCGAAUAGGGGAGCCGAAGGGAAACCGAGUCUUAACUGGGCGUUAAGUUGCAGGGUAUAGACCCGAAACCCGGUGAUCUAGCCAUGGGCAGGUUGAAGGUUGGGUAACACUAACUGGAGGACCGAACCGACUAAUGUUGAAAAAUUAGCGGAUGACUUGUGGCUGGGGGUGAAAGGCCAAUCAAACCGGGAGAUAGCUGGUUCUCCCCGAAAGCUAUUUAGGUAGCGCCUCGUGAAUUCAUCUCCGGGGGUAGAGCACUGUUUCGGCAAGGGGGUCAUCCCGACUUACCAACCCGAUGCAAACUGCGAAUACCGGAGAAUGUUAUCACGGGAGACACACGGCGGGUGCUAACGUCCGUCGUGAAGAGGGAAACAACCCAGACCGCCAGCUAAGGUCCCAAAGUCAUGGUUAAGUGGGAAACGAUGUGGGAAGG